RNAcentral lists this ribosomal RNA (253 nucleotides) under uncultured bacterium. RNAcentral's name for it is "partial 16S ribosomal RNA". It matches the Rfam family "Bacterial small subunit ribosomal RNA", at positions 524 to 776 of the family's 1533-position model. The record is from RNAcentral.
UACGUAGGGUGCAAGCGUUGUCCGGAAUUAUUGGGCGUAAAGAGCUCGUAGGCGGUCUGUCGCGUCUGCUGUGAAAAUCCAGGGCUCAACCCUGGACCUGCAGUGGGUACGGGCAGACUAGAGUGCGGUAGGGGAGAUCGGAAUUCCUGGUGUAGCGGUGAAAUGCGCAGAUAUCAGGAGGAACACCGGUGGCGAAGGCGGGUCUCUGGGCAGUAACUGACGCUGAGGAGCGAAAGCGUGGGGAGCGAAUAGG